UUGACGUUAGUUAACGAUUGUUUAAACAGGCGUUUAUAAUGCACCUUAUAUAAAUAGGAAUAGUCACGGUUAUAUAGAGGCCUAUAUAAGUAUAGGCUGAUACCGAUGUAGCGUUAUUGGCUACAAAAUGAAAUUCUUUGUGCUGUUUAGUCUGAUGGUCGCUUUCCUGUGUGCUGUCAUGGCCCACGAAGAACUUCAUCAAGCACACCCAAAAGCAGAUUACACAGAGAGAUACGCAGCAUUAGCGUCACCGGUUCCCGACCAUGUUAACGUUGACGAGCUAGUGGAAUCACUGCGAGAGGCGAGCAACCAUCCCAACUAAAACACAGUCUGACUGACUGAGACUACUCAGUCGUGACUCACUAAUAACUGAGUUUUAGAAAUUUGUACGUCUUCAUAUGUCCCAUUAGUUUUUUUUAAUAUUUAUUAAUGUGAUUUUUAAUUUAUAUUAAAAUGAUGAAGCGUGUUGUCUGACA
Melitaea cinxia (Glanville fritillary) is the source of this 476-nucleotide long non-coding RNA. RefSeq lists it as uncharacterized. Lineage: Eukaryota; Metazoa; Arthropoda; Insecta; Lepidoptera; Nymphalidae. The transcript has 2 exons. The record is from RefSeq and is a predicted model, not a curated record.